Molecule: long non-coding RNA, 973 nt
Organism: Papaver somniferum (opium poppy)
Lineage: Eukaryota; Viridiplantae; Streptophyta; Magnoliopsida; Ranunculales; Papaveraceae
Exons: 4
Source: RefSeq, a predicted model, not a curated record
GGGACGAAAUAUGCGCCUAUCUUCCACUAGGGCUGAAAUUUCCUGUGAUCUUCUCUUCUCAUUCUAAAUUUGGGAAAAAUAAGGAAACCACCAAAACAUUCUUUUCAAGUAUUGUCGACAUUGAAGACCGUUAAUCAUGUUCCUCAUACAUUACAAAUGUUCCUCUAUAUAAACACCAACAUAGGUCAUCAUCUUCCCAUGUUUCAGACGCAUUCUCUCUCAACACUGCUAGGUUUCAACUGUUGUUCUCGGAAAAGAGGUGCCAUCCAUCUUAGACAUUUUUCAGGGACACUUACAAUAAAAAUUUCCAUAGGAGAUGCUUGGGGGCUCUAUUUCUUGCAUGAUGCAGAAUGAUAAGUUACAUAUAGUGACAAUGAAGCUUCUAACAAAGAAACCUCAAGUUCUACUAUGAUCAUUUGUUGGGCUUUCUCAACUGUUGCUGCGGUGGAAGGUGUAAACAAGGUCACUACUAGAGAUCUGAUUCCACUGUGUAAACAAGAGUUUGUGGACUGUGAUACAUCUUACAUCCAAAGAUGUGAUGGAGGUCUUACGGAAUAUGGGUUCCAGUUCAUCAUUAAGAAUGGUGAAAUCGAAACCGAAGAAGAUUACCCGUACAAGGCUAAAGAUGGAAAAUGUGAUACGAACAUCCAAGAACACAAAUGUAUGUGGAUCAAGAAUCUGCAGAGGAACGCAAGUGUUAUCAAUACUUGAAAAAAUGGGAUUAGGAUGUUUGUUUGGAAACGAUACUCUUAGCUUAGAUAGCUGAGAUUGUGAGGUCAUUGGACUGCAGUUUGUGGAAGAGUACAUCUUUCGCUUCAAUAUUUUUUUAUUUCUUCAUUUUUGGCCCAACAGUAAAUAUUUGCUGACUAACCAAAUUGGAUCACUAAACUUACUGCGAAAUGGAUUGAACUAUUUUUUUAGAUAACUGGGAGCAGUAUCCUGUUAAUGAAAUCGUUAGUUUAUCUAUAGUAUA